GGAUGGUCAAGGACGCCCCAGACUAAGAACCUCCUCCUGUGAGAUUUCUUCAACCAGGGGCUUUGCCCCCAAGAGCCAGGAGCAUCAACACUUUAUUUUCCCCUCUUAGGGAAUGUCUUGCCAGGAGCCUGGUGGUCUCAUUGUUUGGGACUGACCCAUGCCUAAGGGAGGCCCUCACUCAUUCAUGUGUAACCACUACCGCCCCCCCCCACCCCCGCCCUGAGCACCAGGACAGAGAAGGCACAGGAAAGGAGUUCCGUGGCAGCUUGCCAAAGGGACAUCAGAGGAACUGGACGCCUCCAGCUAACCCUGGGAUAUGAAUCAUACGGCCCAGGUCUCGCAUUUUCUGUCCUCCUCGGCCUACGUUGCCUCCCAGCGUUAAAAAUCCCUCUGGACAGCGCCACCGAGGUGUUUGGCAUUCGGCACCGCCUUGAUGUUUGUGGGCCAGGCCCGAGGUUUCCUCAAUCAAGACCCUUUUGCGAGCCAUCCUAA
Molecule: long non-coding RNA, 492 nt
Filed under: Felis catus (domestic cat)
Lineage: Eukaryota; Metazoa; Chordata; Mammalia; Carnivora; Felidae
Description: lncRNA (ENSFCAG00000051682.1)
Source: RNAcentral